CCCCGAGUGUGACUGGUUUCCGGUUGGCGGUGGGCACCGGCUACACGGCGACGUGUAACGGACGGUGGGCCGCAACCAUGGCAGAAAGGAAACCUAACGGUGGCGGUGGUGGCUCCUCCACCUCCUCGUCGGGCACCAACUUACUCUUCUCCUCCUCAGCUACGGAGUUCAGCUUCAACGUGCCCUUCAUCCCAGUCACCCAAGCUGCAGCUUCCCCGGCUUCCCUGCUCUUGCCAGGAGAGGAUUCCACGGAUGUCGGUGAGGAGGACAGCUUCCUUGGUCAGACUUCUGCUCAUACGUCUACCCCACAGACAUUUAGUUACUUCUCUCAGGUAUCAAGCAGCGGUGACCCUUUUGGAAAUAUUGGGCAGCCACCAUUAACAACUGCAGCAGCACCGGUUGGACAGUCACCGUUCUCUAAACCCACAACUGCUCUCCCUUUUACAACUGGAUCCCAAGAUGUGUCGAAUGUAUUUUCACCGUCCGUUUCGAAGGCUCAGUAUGGUGCUCCACCUGCGCCGCAGAUGGGAGUAAAUGCUUACCCGCCUUCUCAGCAGAGUGGUCUCCCUCCUUCACAUUUUGGGAGCCCACCCCCAGGAGCACCCCAGCAAGGAUACAAUCCAUAUCGCCAUACUCCUGUCAGCAGCAGGGCUAAUCCUUAUCUUACACCACCACAGCUGCAGCAGUGCCAGACACCUGGCCAUCCCACCCCCCCGCCACCCGCUGGACCCCCUGUUCAGACGUACCAGAUUCCUCCUGGAUCUUUGCCACCGAGUCCUCCUUCGGUGCAAUCAGCCUUGCCCCCACCAUCGCAGCAGCAGCUACUGGCUAGACCUGCAGGCCCCUCGGUCCAAGCACCACCUCCUUUUCUACUUCAAAACCAGUAUGAACCUGUUCAACCCCACUGGUUUUACUGCAAGGAAGUAGAAUACAAACAAUUGUGGAUGCCUUUCAGCGUGUAUGACUCUUUGAAUCUUGAGGAAAUCUAUAAUUCAGUCCAGCCAGACCCCGAGAGUGUGGUUCUAGGGACAGAUGGAGGGCGUUACGAUGUUUACCUCUAUGAUCGGGUGAGGAAGCCCGUAUACUGGGAAGAGGAGCCGGCCGAAGUGAGGCGCUGCACUUGGUUCUACAAGGGGGACACGGAUAGCAGAUUUAUUCCCUACACCGAGGAGUUUAGUGAGAAACUAGAGGCUGAAUAUAAGAAAGCUGUAACCACGAAUCAGUGGCACCGCAGAUUGGAAUUUCCCAGUGGAGAGACCAUUGUCAUGCACAAUCCAAAGGUUAUUGUCCAGUUCCAGCCUUCCUCAGUGCCGGAUGAAUGGGGGACCACACAAGAUGGACAGACAAGGCCCAGGGUUGUCAAACGUGGGGUUGACGAUAGCCUUGACGAAAUUCCUGACGGGGAAAUGCCUCAGGUUGACCACUUAGUGUUCAUGGUGCAUGGCAUUGGACCCGUGUGUGACCUGCGCUUCAGAAGCAUUAUUGAGUGUGUGGAUGAUUUCAGGGUGGUUUCUCUCAAAUUGCUGCAGACACAUUUUAAGAAAUCUUUUGAUGAUCAGAAAGUAAGCAGAGUGGAGUUCCUCCCAGUUCAUUGGCAUAGUUCCUUGGGCGGGGAUGCCACAGGUGUUGACAGGAAUAUUAAGAAAAUCACUUUACCAAGUAUUGGUCGGUUUCGUCACUUUACCAAUGAAACCUUGCUAGAUAUUUUGUUUUACAAUAGCCCCACCUACUGUCAGAGGAUCGUGGAAAAAGUGGGAAUGGAGAUAAACCGUCUGUACGCACUCUUCAGGAGCCGGAACCCAGACUUCACAGGCGGCGUCUCCGUGGCUGGGCAUAGCUUAGGCUCUUUAAUACUGUUUGACAUACUGUCUAAUCAAAAAGACUUGAGUUUGUCAAAGUCUUCUGCGCCUCUUGCUGUUGCUAAUGGAGUUGUGAAGCAGUCACAUUUUCUGGAAAAGCAGAUGACCGAAGAGCCAAAGCUGACUUUGGAUGAGUCUUGUGACCUUGAUGUUGAAAAUGAAGAAGUCCUAAGUUUGCAAGAAACACUGGAGGCACUUAGCCUCUCUGAAUACGUUAGCACUUUUGAAAAGGAAAAGAUUGACAUGGAGUCUCUGCUUAUGUGUACAAUUGAUGACCUGAAGGAGAUGGAGAUACCCCUUGGACCCAGAAAGAAGAUAGCUAACUUUGUAAAACAUAAAGCAGCCAUACUGGAACAGAAAAAAACAACUUCAGAAAAGAAAGCAGCGAUGGCCACCUCGACAAAAGGGCAAGAGGAAAGUGCUCAGAAAGCUAAAGAAAUGGCUUCUCUCCCCUCAGAAUCUAACGAGUCAAAGAGGAAACUUCCAGUUGGUGCUUACGUUUCUUCUGUGCACGUUGAUUACGAGUCUUUUGGAGUUGGCACUGGACAGGUUUCUGUUGUUUACAACUCAUUAGACUUUGCCCCAGAGAUUUUCUUUGCCUUGGGAUCGCCAAUUGGUAUGUUUCUCACUAUUCGAGGAGUGGAUAGGAUAGAUGAGAACUACAGGCUUCCUACCUGCAAAGGAUUCUUCAAUAUUUAUCAUCCACUUGAUCCAGUGGCAUAUAGAUUAGAACCCAUGAUUAUCCCAGAUUUGGACUUAAAAGCAGUUCUCAUUCCACAUCACAAAGGCAGAAAAAGACUUCAUUUAGAGUUGAAAGAAAGCCUCUCUCGUAUGGGAUCUGAUUUGAAGCAGGGUUUUAUUAGCUCUCUGAAAAGUGCUUGGCAGACGUUAAAUGAGUUUGCCCGUGCUCAUACCUCUUCAACUCAGUUGCAAGAAGAAUUGGAGAAGGUAGCCAAUCAGAUUAAAGAAGAAGAAGAAAAGCAAGUAGUUGAAGCAGAAAAGAUUGUUGAAAGUCCAGAUUUUUCCAAGGAUGAGGACUACUUAGGAAAGGUUGGAAUGUUAAAUGGAGGCCGCCGAAUUGACUACGUUCUUCAGGAAAAGCCAAUAGAGAGUUUUAAUGAGUAUCUUUUUGCUCUUCAAAGUCACUUAUGCUAUUGGGAAUCUGAAGACACUGCCCUGUUAUUACUUAAAGAAAUUUAUCGAACAAUGAACAUUAGUCCAGAACAGCCCCAGCAUUGAGUGGACCUCAGUUUCACUGUUUUGUCUUCACAGAAAGCCCCAGUAUAAAUUACAUUGCUGAGAAAAUCCCCAGAGGACGUGCCCAGUUUGCUUCUGUGAUGGAUGAUGGAAAAGUGCUUCAUUGACAGCUUCUCAGUAUAGAUUCUCAGGCGUAGGGCUUCAUUUGGAAGAAAAUAACACAGAACAAAGACAGCGAAAAACAUCAGUACCACAUUUGAACAGUGUAGAUGAGAAAAUGUAAUUAUAAACAUGAUGCAAUUAAAAAUUUCUCAGAUCGUUUUAGUUGUACAGUUGUCAAAGUCAUGUGGAUUAAUGAAGAAAUGUGUGUAGCAUGCAGACGGUUAUUUCUAUUGAACACUUGUCAGUGGGCCAUUCAACAUGCAUUUUUUUAAUUAAUGCAAUCUGCUCUUUUUAUUCCAGUAGAGACUAUAGUAAUAAUGAUUUUUUAAAAACAAACAACUGGUGUCCUACCUUAAAUGUGAAUUGUAGUGCUGAGCUGUUUUCAUGAGGAUCAUUUGUCUUUGUUAAGAAGAAGUAACCAAGAUCUCUUACAUCCCACGCUGCGUCAGAGGUUUUCAUAACGUCUUUUAGGCUGUCGCUGAGAGCAUAGUUGUGGAAGGACGUGAAGUGCUCUCUUACCCCACAGCAAUCCCAGGAAGGGCUCUGCAGCGCGUCUCUCUCCACUGGGAGAGCAUCCUCCAAGUAGCUAUGCAGCCGCCGCAUUGUCCUAGUUCUUCUGAGUGGUGGGCAGAGGAGAAGGAACACUUGAACCAGUUUCCAUAGAAGAAACGUGUACCGGCUGAGUUUCAGGAAUCUUGUGAUGUUAUUACAAUACUUGCAGAGACAUAAAAUAGACUUUUCUGGUGACUCUGCCUGUGGACAUUUAUAUCACGAUUCUGUUUCUUUAAAAAAUAAACAUCAGGCCCCCUGCAGGCAGACUGUAUUUGUCAGCAUGUUGUUAACCAUUGUAACUACCAUGCGUACCACACAGUCUUGUAACAGUCUGGCCCAGACUAAGGCACUUUCCAAAUAUUUGUUGGAUGAAUGAAUUUGAAAAAUGAAAACUGUAUUUUUAUACUUGGAAGAGAUCUUGGAGUGCCAUCCAAAUCAAUAGUUUGCAAAUUUUUAAAAAGAACCCUUUUUUGAAGUGAAACCUUUCACCAAAUUCCAGUAUGUGAAAUUGAUACGCGUAUAAUCACUGAGUAAACUUGGCCCCCCUCUCUCACCGGGAGCGACUCACCCCCUCCAGGAACCUCCUGCCCCCGGCCUCUAACCUGGAUCAACACCCUCACUUUCUCCUGACGAGGCAACAGAGUAGAACUGCCCGCUAGGGUUCCCAAGGAGCGGUUGGUAGAUUCGAACUGCUGACAUUUUGGUUAGCAGCGGAAAGCUUAACCACUGCGCCACCAGGACUCCAGCAGGAAGAAAGGACUUUUCAAGCCUGAGGGACCUGUGUGUCUUGAAUUCAUCUAUGGGAGUGAAGUGUUAGUCCAGAUAAGAAGGGUGUUUUCUCAAAACCUAAGUAUGAUUCUCAUGAAAGGAAACUACACAGAUAAUGUUGGUAUUUGAGGAAAUAUGUUAUUGAAAAGGUGUGAUCUGUAUUAAACAAAACAAAACAAAAAACCCUUUGUUAUCAGGUUGAUUCUGACUCAUAGCUACCCUACAGGACAGAGUAGAACUGCCCCGUAGGAUUUCCAAGGAAUGGCUGGUGGAUUCAAACUGCCAACCUUUUGGUUGACAGCUGAGCUCUUAACCACUGCACCACCAGGGCUGUGUGAUCUGUAUAGAGCCUUGAAAAUGAAGAAGUUAGCAGGUAGCUACCACUGUUCUGGCAGGGGUGAUCAUAUAUUUGGAAUAGUAACUCAUAAGGUCUUACUGUAACUUGAGGGCUGGAGAUCAGGACUGUCCCAGAAAAUCGAGGUGACUUGGCCUUGGUGCUUAUAUUACCAUUGUUUUAGAUGUUUGAGACUUGAGGCGUCUGUCUGCCACAGUGCUGUGCCUGGGUUUACCAAGCAGCUUUCUGGUAGGAACUUGGUUUCCCAGGGAGGUAUUGCCCCCUGUGUUUGUUUUUUCUCCAGGCUAUAGUUCUUGUUGGAGCUCAAUAAAAUGGCACCUGGUUUACCACGCAACUGUUCCUCAGGGCUGAGUCCUCUAAGGCGGGUUGAUAGGAUACAGUUCCUGUAAGAGCCGAGGUGCUGACAUUGUUUUCCUGCUCUUGCCGUCUCCCUGCAAGGCAGAUGAGCUGUCUGCUGACAUACUUUCUUGUUCUUUUCAUUAUAUUCUCCACCAGUUAGCAGUCUAGUUCUGGUGUUUCACCUACAGAUUGAGUUUACCAGAAACUUGAUAUCAUAAGAAAGAGCUCUGGUGCCCAUGUGCCUCUAUCUGUGGCAACCUUUGCCUCUUACCUGGGAGUCCAUAGCAAGUCCCUCUGCCCGCUCUUAACCUCUGAGCAAAGUGUUUUUUUGUAUUAGUUUGUCCUGGGUUUUGGUCAAGUUUCCUCAAUCAUGAAAUUCCUAAACAUCAUAGGGUUGUUGUGAGGAUUAAAUGAAAGGCUGAGUGAAGUACUGGGGCACAUAGUAGGCACUCAGGGUGUUAGCUCAUUACUGUUAUUGCUCUCUGGUCGUGAGCACUCAGACUCUGGGUACACCCAGGCGUUUACUGCGGGGUCACUGUGGCCAGGUUUCUCGCAGUUGAGAGUUACCAGAGAGGGAGGCUGAGGUCUGCGUGUAGAAGACUGAAGAUUGCUGGGCCUAGAUUUUCGCCUGGGUGUGGGGUGUGGAAGCCUGGGGAUUGUGCAGGUCAUUGGAGCUGAGGAACCAACUGGAGAUAGGGGUGAGGGGUGCUUCUGCUAUUUGCCUGUCUUUGUGCAAGUUGGAAACCCUGGUGGCUUAGUGGUUAAGUGCUGAGGCUGCUAACCAAAAGGCCGGCAGUUUGAAUCCACCAGGCACUCCUUGGAAACUCUAUGGGGCAGUUCUGCUCUGUCCCAUAGGGUUGGUAUGAGUUGGAAUCAACUCAACGGCAACAGGUUUGGUUUUAUUGGUUUUGUGCAAGUCACCGGGCUUGAGAAAGUACCUGUGGCUGUCUCCUGAAGGCCCUGAUGCUCUACUGUAAGCUCAUCACGGGGUAGGGAUCGAGAGAACAUUUCUUCAUUCUUCAGCUCUGCCUUCCCUGAUAUUUUAUUUUCCUGCUUUAAAACAGCAACUGUGUUGCAGAUCUUCUUAAACGUGUCAGCACACGGAACACUCAAAAUGACUGCAUGAUGUUAAUACUAGUUUACUAGUCAUUUGCUUUGACUUAUGAUCUCAGAUCAGGUGGGAUGAGUUUGGGCAGUAUACACAGUAAACAUUAAACGAUCACAACGUGUGUUAGAUUGUAUGACAAUGUGUGUGAUAGACCAGCGAUUGCCAAGAACACAUUCAGGAGACAGUGGACGAAUCUGCCCAUUGGCGAGUAAGCGAGCGAGCGAGCGAGCUGCAGGUCAGGCUUGGGGGCCGUGGAACUGAUGGACUUGGGGAUGACCUGCCAUUUUUUCUUUUAUUUCUCGUAUUAAAGAAUGACUUUUAAAAGACUUGCCAUGGAAAUUUUCACACAUACUCAGAAGGGUGGAGAAUGGUAUCAUUCUGGUCUUGUCCCAGCGCCAGUGGUGGUGUCAGGGAGGGUCUCCCUGAGGAAGUGACCAGGAGUGUGUGUAGCCCCAUGAGAAGGGGGAAAAGCGUGGGGAAGGACGAGAGGCGGGAAAGAGCACCACACAGGCAGGCAACUGAAAGAAGUGGUUAUGCAUGAAAUGCAAAAGGAGCUAUAUGGAUGUUUUGAGUAUGAUUUUCAU
RNA transcript from Loxodonta africana (African savanna elephant), 6924 nucleotides. It is a transcript of the gene named SEC23 interacting protein, with no coding region annotated. The transcript has 20 exons. Lineage: Eukaryota; Metazoa; Chordata; Mammalia; Proboscidea; Elephantidae. The record is from RefSeq and is a predicted model, not a curated record.